Long non-coding RNA from Anguilla rostrata (American eel), 14458 nucleotides. RefSeq lists it as uncharacterized. The transcript is spliced from 4 exons. The record is from RefSeq and is a predicted model, not a curated record. Lineage: Eukaryota; Metazoa; Chordata; Actinopteri; Anguilliformes; Anguillidae.
CCCAAUUCCGUGCAGCCAGUAGGGCUGUCAAACAAUGAUUCGAUAUGUGACAGGAGCCACUGAACCCAGGCAUAAGUCGCAUGAGGUGAUUACUUUUUAAACAUGUAUACUUUCUAAUACCUUAAUAUCAAACUCGUAUUUGAUCGGUGAACAUGAGAAAAGUAAAAUAAUUAAACUCUCUUUCUCUCUAUCUCUUUCUCUGUCUGCUUGUUGCGAGGGGGCAGGACAAUGGGCGGGACAUCCAUAUUAAUGACCAUUCCGCAUGACAUUCCUGCAUAAGUAGUCAGGAAAUACCUUGUGUUGUUUACCAUCUAGUCUACUUUUUUGAUUACGAGUGUCUCGGGAGAUUCCAUCAUGUGUGACAACGCUGGUAAUGUGGCUAAAGCUCUCCUCCAGAUUACCGAGCUGAAUUUAGAUAGUGCCAGCGACAAGAACGAAUGGAUUGACAUGGUAACGGAUUACUUUGUAGAUAGAGGUGACUCAGUUAAAACAGCAACAUUAUUUUCUCGGUUUUGAAUUGUUGUUACAUCCCCUCCCUUUUUCAGUGUCCAAUUUCGCAAUUGAUGGCAGCGUUGAAUCACGGUUCUAGUUACCGGCUUCAUUUAGGCUUGCCAACCAUCCCGCAAAAUAGGCUACUGAAUCGUCCCUUAUUUGUACAGUAGUUCGGCGUUCCGUAUUUAACUCAUGGCUACGGGACGCAUUUUCUCCUGUAUCUUUUUUAACGACUGCGUUUAUAGUGACCGCUGUUAUUACUAUAAUUCACUAGUUAGCUAGCUAGCUAACCGGGAUAAAAAGCAUGCCGUGAGACCAUUUUGAGCUAAAACCCAGCUGAAUUUUAAUAUUAGCUAGAUAACAAGUGAUGGCGAAGCUAUCAUAAAGCUAGAUGGCAUUCAAACCCGAAUUAAUGACCAGAGGUUUUUGCUUAACAAUGGUGCAAAUAGAACUACCAACCAGAGUUUUUGCAUAACAACGGUCCAAAUACAACUACCAACUAGAGUUUUGCUUAACGGUAAAACAAUAUGCCCAAAUGGCCACGGAAGAAUAUUUCAAUUUCAGGUGAUUAAGUCGAAAUCAAUAAAUAUUAAAUGAGUAACAUGGUGGUUGAAUGUGACACUUGCCAGUUGUCUUUAGGCAACAACAAAACAAAUGUGCAUAAUUUUUUAUUAUUCAGUCAUUUAAAUGUAUUUUAAAACGGAUUUUUCUAAGCCUAAAUUUCCCACUAUAAAAGUUCACCCGAACUGUCUGGGCGUGGUAAUGAGAACUGUCAGUUAGCUGUGAUUGACAGACCAUGCCCCGUUACCAUAGCUACCUCCAUGAUACGCGCUCAUCUUGGCAGACUGAAUUUUCACAAGCUAGCUAACUUAGUAUAUCGAGUAUCGAUAGCUAAGGACGUUAACUUAUAUCCAAUAAUAAUUUUUGCUAGCUAGCUAGCCAAGUUAAGAUAAAACCACAACUAUAACAUUACGUUAUGAAAGCAAACUAGCUAUAAAUGAAUAUAACAAACCAGAGAUAGUCUAAUAGUCCUUAAAAGGCACAUAAGUGAACCUAGCGUUAGUCAUAUAUUUGCAUUGUCUUGCCUGUAAGCCAGCGGCACAAACUAUGGGUCACGAGUUAUCCAUGGGUCCCCAAAUAUGAUUUUUGAGCUAUCACAGCAAUCUGACUGACAGUAUGGAGGGCAAAACGGAGCUUUAGAAUGUCGCCAGCAGUGUAUGCGCGUGAGUUCGACAGUACAUUUCAUACAGAAAAGGUAGUUUGUCUCCUUUUUUUAGUUCAUUACAGUGAUGAUAGAAGUGACAAUAAUUAAGUGGUGCUGUGCUGUUAGCCUUUACUGAUCGCUGUGCAAGGUUAAUGUGAAGUAGCUAGCACAAUCGGACAGCACUAACCCAUAAAAAUGUACUGAUACUUGCUCAAUCGAACGGUAAAUCUGAAAAACAUUUGAUUAUAGUCAGCGGCACCAAACUUUUCUUUCACACCCUCAAUAAACAGCAAAAGUCCGAGUUGAAGAUUGAAUUAAACCUUUUAAAAUUAUAUAUUUUCUGAAACGUUAUCGAUUCCGCUUGGCCACAGUGAGUGAAACUAGGCGAUCUGAGCGUAUAGUUUCUAUGUAAAUUACGUCAGAAGGGUUCAGCCUUGUUAUUUGCUACCUUAACUUCACAGCACACUUGUAACAGGAUGGUGUGUCCGGUCAGAUUUUUUUACGGGGCGUGGAAAGGGGAGUGGUUAUCCUCGUGUGACGCACUACGAGGAGAACAUUCUCAACCGGCUGAAAAUCGGACGAUAAAUUUAAAAUGCAUGUUUCUCCAAAAAUAAAGAACGGACAUAUUUAAUACUUUACUCAUCGUGUUUCUUCAAUGCUUCUUGUGCAAAUAGCACAUAAAACCGAGAAAGUGUGAAAACCACAAUGUUACUCCUUUAAAGUUACCAUUUAUAGUCAUUGUUGGUAACCCAUUGUAGCAGCUAUUGACAGCUUGACAAAGGCAUCAUUGUUAUUCAGGUGAGGGGUGUGGCUAAGGCUGCAUAAAUUAAUUCAAAGUCUGAGUGGGCGUGAACAAGAGGCAGUGAGGAUCCCAACUUCUGCUUUCCACCUACAUUAAAGUUGAUUUCUAAGUAGUUUAAAUAUUUGUAUUCCAUGCAUUCCACAUCAGAUAGGUAGAAUAUUCCACCACAAUGUGUAAUUUGGUGUAACUGAUAUCUAUUUAAACACAUGGAUGCUAAGGAAAUAUGUCAGAAAAGUGUGGGAAUCCCUUGUCAAUUUUUGGCAGUGAAAAUCUCUGGUUUUCUGGCAGCCCAUUCAGCAUUAAUUUCUAACGUCAAAACAGCACGACUUCCUCAAUAAUUGUACAAUCUCCAUGUAUGAUACAUCUAUUUGAAGCUCUGUUUCUCAGCUUGCAUAUGCUAAAAACUCAAAAUCAGCUUUGAGAACAGUAAUGCAUAUAAAUUAGGGACGGAGGGAAAAAUUGUUUCAUUUACGAAUCGCGAUUCUUAAAUCGCCACGCUGCCUCCCAAAUCGAUAUUUUGUCUGUACUUUAAGGCAUUUUUUAUUAGGGGUCCAAGCAGCGAAGCUGUUGGAACCCUAUUGUAUCUGUUAGGAUUAUUAUUCUUAUUAUUAUUAUUAUUAUUUUUCUCCGCUAAAAGUGUCUGAGGCUCAGCACCCAUAAGUCCUGGAGCAACCAAAUUUGGCAGGUGGGUUCCUAUGGCCCCCCACUACUCAGGCACUAAAAAGCACGUACGUCAGCCAGAUGGUGGCGCUAUAACAAAGGGUAACGCGUAAAAGCCCAUAACUCCCACACCAUAAGUUAGAUCAACACAAAACUUCAUCGACCUAUGCAUCUCAACGUGCUCUACAACUUUGCCAUUGGCCCCACCUUUGUCCGCCAUAUUGUUUGCCCGCCAUUUAGACUUUUUAGUUGGGGCGUGGCAGUUUUCUCCGAUAAAAUGUCUGAGGCUGAGCAACCAUAAGUCCUAGAGCAACCGAAUUUGGCAGGUGGGUUCCUAUGGCCCCCCACUACUCAGGCACUAAAAAUCACCUAUGUUGGCCAAAUGGUGGCGCUAUAACAAGAGGGUCAUACUUUAAAAGGCCAUAACUCCCACACCAUAAGUCAGAUCAACACAAAACUUCAUCGACUGAUGCAUCUGAAUGUGCUGUACAACUUUCCUAUUGGGAGCACCUAUGUCCGCCAUAUGGUUUGCACACCAUUUGAACUUUUUCAUUAGGUGGGGUGCGGAAAAGCUGGAGCUCCAAAUCUAAACGAUUACGACAUUGAGUAAACUUCUUUACGGCAAGCGACAACCAUGGCGACGCAAGUAAUCCGACACCGUAGGUCUAGUUUUUAGCAGUGACUGGACGGUCUGACAGUUCCACCUAGCGUGCAUGCUAGGAUAGGCGACCCAAAGUUUCUUAGUAAAAGCUUUCUGAGAGGAUGAAUAAUUACUUUUCUUUGGCAUGGAUCCAUUUGAAGACAGUAUCGGGUGAGUUCGUUAAGUCUUUAAAUCUGUCAUUAUGGUGAGAAAAAGCUAAACCAUUUUAUUGGUAGUUUUUGAGUUUCUGUGCAAACGCGCGAAAACACGCUGGUAUAAUAAAACAAUGACGGUAAUACAUAUAUAGUCCGCUUCGUUCCGUUGCUACCAUAACAUAACAGACUCUUGUGUCUACAGCUGCAGUUUCUCGCUGCAAUUUCUAACAUUGAAUAUUCAAAAUACGCAAUUUAUGCUGUACUCUGCCAGUGUCUAAAUAAAUAAUACGCUACGGUAAAGCCUUGAGAGAAUGAAUCAUUACUUUUCUUUGACAUGGAUCCAUUUGAAGACAAUAACGGGUGAGUUCGUUUACUCUUUAAAUCCGUCAUUAUGCUGAGAGAAAUCGUAUUCUCAAUUUAAUCUCUAAAUUAUCUGUAAGGUUAGGGUUGUAACUAGUUAGCUGUUUCGUAGGUGACUUAGUUAAUGCACUCGUCUUAACUAUUGCUUGUACUUUCGCAUAGACUGCGUUGUUGCUGUACUUGUUUGUGUUAGUGUUAAUCAGUUUAACCUACAGGGUCCAAGUUGGACUAUGCGGUUGUUCCCUGCACUUGGAACGGUAGGCUACUGCCCUCUAGGGUUUUCGACACACUUGUUCCUGAUUAUGGUUAUACAUUUUGUUGUACGUCGCUCUGGAUAAGAGCGUCUGCCAAAUGCCUGUAAUGUAAUGUAAUGCAAUAUUCCGUAGCAACAAGAUAAACCCGACAUUAGCCCUAAAAUAUGCCAAUACAGUAGUGGCAACGCUGCUCACUGAAUAACGACAUAAACGAGACAAUUUUUCUUUAAUUAUACCAUGUCAUUCUACAGUCAACAUCUGGGACUAAACAUUGAAUAAAUAUACAAUCUUACCAUUGGUUUUACGCGUAGAGAUGUCCCUUUUGCGACUGAGUGGUCAUAUAUUGUGUUGGACAAUCCGUUUGUGAAAUAUGCGCAUUUGUCAUGCCUGGGUACCUUCCAAAAUAGCUGCGUUAUACCAGCUAUUAUUACAGCGUUGUCGCCCUUUUUAGAAUGGUUUGGCUUGAUUGACAAUUCAUUUAUUCAGUAGGUAAGAGUAUAAUCUUUCUAACAAUGUAUAACAUGUCUAAUUUUGCUUUUGGAAUUUAGCAUUUUUUAGGUCAGCGUAACUGAAAUUUUUCUUAUCAUUACAUUCAGUUGCGCUCUGUGGUAGCACUAAAAGAUGCUGCACCUAAGGAAACGUUGUCAACGAUUUUACGUAAUUUCUUGGAAAAUACUAUUAUUAUUGAGGACUUCUGGACAUAGCUAAGCCAUAUGUUUGCUGAAGGACCUAGCUGAUAUCAUUUUCUGGUAAGAUAGAACUGUAUCAUUGAUUUACUGUCUCUGUCUGUACUGAAAACAGAUAAGAUUUCAUCAUUGUUAUGUAAGUAUUACUGCUCAAAAUAUUUCGGUUAUAUACAUUAUUUUUGAAAUUGAGUAUCUUUAAAUAGGCUAGUGGUAUUAUAUAAUGAGGAUAUUUCACACUGUAAUGUAAGCUUUCGUUGGUAGUCAUGGCCGGCGAUAGCUAUGGGCAGGGGUGGGCUCAGCCCACCCAAAUGGGCGUCUUGCCCACCCAAUCAAAAGUUAAGAAUAUUUUUAUUUAUUUAUUUAUUUUUUUUUUUUUUGUUCAGCCAAUGGAAAAUAGCACAGAGAAUACCAGUACCGUUUCUAACUUCUGAUUGGGUGGGCAGCCACGGGUUGAAACAGCUAGUUUCUCUGAUGCAGUGUACUGCCAGUUGAUUUAAUUAGCGGUAUUAAAGAGCAUAUUGUAGUUUGGAGACCCCAGUGAAUCAGUGUGUAGGAAAAUGAUGUAGGAACUAGAUGUUCAUAAAAAUAUACUUAUAUAUACACACUAGUGACUUCUGGAGUCGUUUUUUUUUUGUGAGAGAAUUUUACUUUGGCAUCUAAAAAACGCCAACCCGGAAGUGACGUAACAGAAGGGAGAGCGGUCAAGUUGAACAAUAAGAAGAAUAGAUCUCAACGCUAGUUUUGACACAAGAGGUUGUAAAUGUUUAUGCAAAAGCAUAUGAGGGACCACAGCCUUACCAUUAUGAGCCUGCUAGGCGUCCAAGAGACCAGGCACAGACCAGGGUUACAAGGAAUAACGGUCAGAGGAGAGAAAUUGAGUUGUGGUGUGAGGAGAACCAGUGGAGAACUGGGCAGAUGUCUUGGUGAGUGACCAGCGUUAGCUUAGAUAUAUCCACAUUAUAUAAUACCACUAACCUAUUUAAAGACACUCAAUUCCAAAAAUAACAUGUAUAACCAAAAUAUUUUGAUCAGUAAUACUUACAUAGCAAUAUAACAUUUUAUCUGUGUUCAGUAGAUAGAGACAGUAAAUCAAUGACACAGUCCUAUCCACUUCUGUUUUGCUCCAGAAAACGAUGUCAGCUAAGCUAUCAGCAAACAAAUGGCUUAGCUAUGCCCAGACGUCCUCAAUAAUAAUAGUAUUUAACAAGAAAUUACGAAAAAUCUUUGACAACAUUUCGUUAGGUGCAGUGUCAUUUAAUGCUACCACAGAGUGUAAGUGAAUGCGAUGAGAGAAAAUUUGGUUACGCUGACCUAUAAAACACUAUUCCAAAAGCAAAAAUAGACAUGUUAUACAUCGUUAGAAAGCUUAUACUCUCACCUACUGAAUAAAUGAAUUGUCAAUCAAGCCAGACCGUACUAAAAAGGGCGACAACGCCGUAAUCAACACGUGUGGUAUUACGCACAGCUAUUUUGGAAGGCACCCAGGCAUCACAAAUGCGUGUAUAUUUCACAAACGGCUUGUCCAAGACAAUAUAUGACCACUCAGUCUCAAAAGCGACAUCUCUACGCGUAAAACCAAUGGUAAGGUUGCAUGUUUAUUCAAUAUUUAGUCACAGAUAUUGACUGUAGAAUGAACACGUAUCUAUGGGCGUUAGCUAACGAUAUUAACGCUGUGUUCACAUCACAGCAUUGUAAAGUUUGCUAUCAUGUAUCAUGCUAUAACAAAACUAGUAUUGGUUGUCUAAUACCGGCAGGAGGAUUUUGUAACAAAUGCAGCAGUGAAGUCCCGUCUCUUCACCUGCACAAAACGCACCCAGGCACAAAAGCCAGCACCAUUCCUUUUCCUGUUAGAAAAAUUGUGUGCUCGAUGUCCUGACAGGCUGGAGUUUGUGCAAACUGCACAAACACAAUAAUUUACCAUGAUGAUACAUGGUGAAAUGCGAUAUAAAACUACUGAAAACUAACUCACUAUAUCACGACCGCUAAGACUCACUACUACUGCAUAUUGGGCUAAUAUGACACAAUGUUGAGAAAAAAGGCAUUUUUAGGAGCUUUGCUCAAAACGGCCACUAGUUCCUCUGAAUUUGUGCCCUUAUGUCUUGUAAAAAUUAUUCAAGCCUGCAUUAACUUUUCAAAUGGUCAUUUACAGACAAGGUUAAGUAUACAUUUCGUAAAGAAUUUUACCUGCAAGAUGGUCUUUAAUGUGACGAGAAGUGCUAUAUCAAUUUAAUUGGGUGACACCAAUCCUAGUGACGAAACAGCGCCCAAGUUGCCCACCUAUUAUUUCUACCAGCCCACCCUAAUACAGCAGGCUAAAACCGGCCCUGUUGGUAGUCUAGUAAAUUUUGUGAUGCAUGCAACAGUGAUGAUGGGAGUGUUGGAACAUUGCCAAAAUGUGGUGGACAGUUGAAAAUAGUUUUUAUGUUGCCCCAUCCCCAUACAAGAAAACAUAGGAGAGUACAGAGUAUAGAAAUACAUUCAAUAGUUCAUUAUUACACAUUUAGGUACUGUACAGCAUUGUGUGACAAUAUUUUUCAUUUUUAAAUCUGAUAUCAAUGUUUCAUCUUAAACCUUCAUAAGGGGUUCAUUUAUAUGCUUUACAAUGGACAAAAGGCAAUAUAUUCCUUUUUGGAGAGAUUUUGGAUAUGUUUCUGGACCCCUAGUUAUUUUAUAACACUGUACUGAUGGAAAGCUUGUAAUUCCCACUUGAAAAUGAUGCAACAGUGAGUUUCUUGAGUAAAAACAGUUGAUUUGUAGUGAAAUGUGUGAAUAUGUUGUGAUUUACAGCAAUGCAUAAUUUAGACAUUUUGGGUAGAUUUGGAGACGCUGGGUACACUGCUUAGUUUUUCCUUCAUAGAUCUUUAGUAGUUCUACAUAUCCACUCUUAGAAUCUAUGAACUUGUGGUCAAGAAGUUUCUGAUCCAGGACAUAUAUACUUCAACCUGCUAUAUAUAUGCAAUCUCUCAGUAUUUCAUUGCGAACUAAAAAAGAGCUAAUUCUUUUUAGAUUUUUUGCCUAGACAAUUGCAUUUGUGGCACUUUAUUUCUUGCCAUUUUUCAAGUCUCUGUGGUGGGCACAUCUGGAGUUAUAAAGCUUUAAAUAGGGUACCCCCUAAAUGGGCAAGGAUUGGCAGGAUUUGGCAUAUGCGCUCGCUAAGGGGUUAAAUGUACUGGGUUUUGAAAAAGUAAGUGGCAUACAUUUAAUAAUCUGUCAGCUUAAAGGCACACACUAGUUCAGUUUGUGUGCAGUUGACAGGGGCUAUACAUUCAAUAAUAGGGCACAUUUUUAUGUCUUUUCUCUAUUGGCUGCCCUGCCAACAUUAAGUUCAUGUUAAGAUUUAGGCCUGAAAUAAAACUUGGAAAGCUCUAAGUGAAAUGACUAUGUGUUGUAUUUGAAGUUAUAUUCAUCUGUUUUCCAUGGUCCAGUGUUUAAAAAAAAAAAAAAAAAAAAAAAAAUCGUAAUGUCGAAUCGCAAUACUUACAGAAUUGCAAUAUCCACAGAAUCACAAUAUAUAUCGAAUUGGCACCUAAAUAUUGUGAUAGUAUUGUAUCGGGAGGUGCCUGCCGAUUCCCGUCCCUAAUAUAAAUGUAGACGAUGAGAAGCAUGCGUACACAUAGAUACAUGCAAACACGCAUACAGCGUAGGCAGUGUCGGAUGUACAGUGGUUUGAUUGGGAGGCAGAGCAAGAUUUCGGGGGGCCAAGUUGAGGACAUGAUUCAUGAUGAACAGCGGAGCAGAGCUGGGUGUAAAAAUGCGAAGUAACCCUUUAAGAAACGGUUGUGGAUUAUGUCUGUCUGAAUUUGUACAGUCUGAUAAACAUGUAUCGUUUAGCACUUUUGCUUUGCUAUAGAUGUAAAACAAUAGCUGUGAUAAAGGGUGCGGUGGCUUAAGUAUAAAAGAGGCUUGCAUCAUUAGAAAAUGAACAGAAAUAUCUCCAGUGUAUGUACUCACUCAUCUGACGGCCAUGCAACGACCCUUCAUUGACAAAAUUUAUCAGCAAGCUCGUAGAAUUUGAGCUUCGUAGGUUGCAACUUAUGUACCCUUCUGUCUUCUCCGUUUUCUGUUAUUUUGUUGCGAUGCGCUUUCAGUGUUUCUAUGGUUUAUGGCAUUUUGAGGCUUAGCUGUUCCUUGUUUUGCUUAGCUAGACAGGGGAGAAUAGCAGCACACGCAUAUGUCCCAGCAAUCUUUGAAUAUUAGAAAAUUGUAGUAGUAAGAGAGAAAUGAGGAGGACUGAUGAAAUUGAAUAGUUGAAACAAUAUGUUGUUAGAAGAAUGGGCAUGUAGGUGAAGUAUGACAUGAUCACAGACUAGUGCAAAGAAAGUAAAGUGACCAUGAGUGAGAUGGGUUUCCUUACUGAACGAUAUAUAAAACAGACGAUAGUACUACUUAUACGUUGAAUUAGUUGUUGAAGCAAUGCGUGAAAUUGCGCCAUGAAACUGGAGUGUAAAUGUACUUUUCUGAUGUUCAGCACUAGUAGUUAUAAUUAUGAAUGAGUCAUGUUUUAAAAUGUAAUGUUUUAAUGAGGUGUUGCAGACAGUUCAUACGUAGUAAUUGUUUGUAUGUGGGUACAUAGAGAACAGGGCGAGGUAACAUGAAUGUAGAAAAGUGCUGUUUGCUGAUGAGAACGUUUUCUACCGUAGCCAAGUGAAGAAAUGUUGUUGGUAGAAACGCCGCAGUGGUCAGCUGGUGUAACUUUUUAAGAAAAUCAAUACAUUUAUCGUCAUGAAAUGCAUAUGGCUGGCCGUGAGUGACUUGGUAAACAUCUGCAUUGAAGAUUGUGAUAUUUUGAUAAGUGCAAAAGCAAUAGACAAUUAUUAGUUAGCUAUGUAAGUGUAAGAAAAUGCUAGUUUAAGAUACAAAAAGAUCUGCCCCUGAGGACAAGGCGGGAUUUGAUUAUCCGACCUUGCGCUUCGCAGUCAUUUACUUUGGCAGUGCUCCACCGUCAUGUAGCUGUCUAAAAAGUUUUUUGGUCAAAUGUGUCCGUGGUUUUAAAGAAGACAGGACUUUAAUUACAGCUGAGCUCCGGUUGUAUCCAUAUGGCCUGGCGAUAUUGUAGGAGGUUAACUGAACGUGUAGAUGGUAUGUCAUAAUUCAGUCUUGUCUAUACAUUUGGUGAAUGGUGGGUAGAUAUGGUGCAAAAGCAAGAGUUAAGAAAUGAUACACAAUUAUUAGUGAGCAAAUAAGCAUGAAAUUCAGUUCAGGUGGGGCUUGAACCUGUGACUUGAUGCGUAGAAGAAGACGACGACGCAACAUCCCCUUAGUUUGGGGCUUCAUUCUAUGGACAUGAGAAGUUAAUGAAUUCUGUCUGUUGAAAUUGGGUUUUUAAGGGCUGAGAGUCUGUGGCUGUUGCAUUUAUUUCUGUGGGAAACCCUGAAAAGUGACAAACUCUCGGUGCUGUAUAGGUAUGGGGCAUGCCGCCCCGCCAAGGCGUAACUUGGCGGGAUGGCAUACCUUCAAUCCCAAUACAUACAGUCUGACAUUAUUCAUACCACAUAGUUCAGAAUAAUUGUAAUGGUAAAUGAAAACACCCUAUAAUGUGGAUGUGCAGGCUUUUGGCUGCACAUACAAAUGUGUGUACUGAGCUUAAAAACAAUUGCAUGAUAGGCCCUUUUAAUUAAAUGUACUUUUGAGUGUAUUGCAUACUAGGGUUGGAGGGAGAUGCCUCGAUUUGUAUUUGUAGCUGUAUUUGUUCAGCCAACAGAAUUAUUUGUAUUUGCAUUAAAAAGGAAGUUGGUGAGGUUUAACACUGAAGCUGUAUAAAAUGCCAAAAAUCUACUCAUAAUCGCUGACACUGCUAUUGAUGUAAAAGUCAUGAUUUUACAAUGACAUCAGUAAUGAUCUAGUUUAUCAACAGAUAAUUUGCUUUUUUAAAAAUCUGUAUUUAAUAAACAAUGACCUACAAAUGUGUGACAAAGGAAAAACCUGAAUAAAUGAGUGGAGAAACAUAACGAAUGCAGAUGCUUCCUUACAGGUGUACUGCAUGAUGCAAUUAAGAAAUGAAUAUCCUAACAUGCUGUGGCAUGUAUGAAAAAAUGCUGAGCAUAGUCAGUUGACUCAAUUUUGGAUCAAGAUCGCAAGCAGAAAACGAUGUUAGACUGAAUUAAAGUGGAUGUAUUGAAUUAGUUCCAUGUGUAAAUACCAAUAGAUGCACCUAUGUCUAGGAUCUUAUUGGUAUUUUGGUUGACCAAUCAAGAACCAGUACUAAUUAAAUAUCAGCUCUCGAUACCCAUUUCUAGUAAUAUCCUGUCUAAUGGCAUAGGCCCCUAAGUGCUUCUUUAGGAAAAUAUUUCACAAAGCCAAUGGCUAACUAAAUUAACCUGACUAAACUUCAGCUAGCUGCAUUUGAAGUGAUAGCUGCCCAGGGCCUUUCAACAUCUCCUUGUCCUCAUCAAACUGGAGGGUCAUCUUUUUGGCGCUUCUAUUUAUUUUUAACCUUGAAUAUCCAUGUAUGAUUGGUUGCUUUAUUUGACUGAUAAAUACGGGAUCCGCAAAACAAUAAAAAAGGCAUUUUGAAAUUGCUAAUGUUAGGGUUGGGGUAGGCUACAUCUGUCACUCCCUCACUUCACUCUUGCGCAGAGGGCUUAGGGUUAGGUCACCAAGGCGUAUGAAUUCAUGCAUGAUUAAGCAGUCCAAUGCAUCUUACUAUUGGAAUUUUAUAAUUAGCUUGAACAUGUAUUUCUUUGUUCAGUAUUUUUCUGCGUAAAAUAAUAUUAUUCAGACAAAGAAAAUAAUUUUUUUUUUUUUCAUUUUUGGCGAUCAAGAAGAUAAAUGGCUCACAGAAACAGCAAGAGGAAUGGGCACAAAUAAAAGAAAGAAAUAUGGACAAAAUCUUUGAAAGGGCACUAAUUUUUUUCAUUCUGCCGAGGGCCUUCCAGGGGCUACUUCACCAAGCCAUGAGGGUCCCUGGAUCCCAGUUUGUGAAUCCCUGAUCAAAUGUCUAUUCUAUAUUACCAGUUCCCAGUGCAGCAGAGCAUUCUGCAGCAGGAAUCUUAUUAUAUUAUGUUUUAUAUUGUUAAUUUUUUUAAGUUACAUAGUUAUGUUUUUAUGUGUGUUAUAUAUAUAUAUAUAUAUAUAUAUAGGUGUAUAUACUGUCAGAAUUAUUGCAGUAUACACGCCUUCUUAUGCAGUUGGCCUGAAGUGUCAUGAGUGGUCACGUUAACACAGGAUUCUGCUUUUCUCGCAGACAAAAGAGCCAAAUGCAGGAAAGAGAUACACUGGGUUCUAGAACAGUGGGUCCCAACCUCAGUCCUGGGGUACCCCUGUGUAUGCUGGUUUUCGUUCCAACCACAAAUGCAUUUCCAGAAUUAUAACAAGUUGUAAAUUCUUCUUAAUUAGGUGCUCUUCAUGUUUAGAGGGAUUAUUUACCCUCUUUAACCACAUUAUGUAAGAAAUAGCUAAGCAUUCCAUGAAGAAUAAAAUUCCCAUGUUCACACUGUGCUUAUUGUACUACAUGCAAACAAUUACAUUAAAAAGUAAAUUAUUUUUAGUGGAUCAAAUUAAAGACUGGGGUGAAUUUUUUUGUUUAACCUUUCAGGGUAGGUUCACUGAGCGCGGAUGCUCUUUUACAGUUACGCCCUGCUUCACACUCAUACACAUUCACACCUGGGAGCUGCCCAGUACAACCUCUAUAUUUGGCCACUGAGCAGCUCCACUGGAGGGAGAGAACUUUUUUUUAGUCAAUUAAAUCAGGAGAUGAUUAGGGGGCAGGUUUUUUUUGCGAGAGCCAGAUGUGGGAUUUUAGCCAGGACACCGGGGAACCCCCUACUCUUUGCGAAUAGUGUCAUGGGAUCUUUAAUGACCACAGUGAGUCAGGACCUUGGUUUAACGUCUCAUCCGAAAGACGGCAUCUCCUACAGCAGAGUGUCCCCGUCACUGCACUGGGGCAUUGGGGUUUAUUUGACCAGAGGGAAAAUUGCCCCCUGCUGGCCCACCAACACCACUUCCCGCGGCAACUCCGUAUUCCCUGGUGGUCUCCUAUCCAAGUACUAACCAAGCCCACACCUGCUUACCUUCAGCCAGUCGGCAGGAGCAGAGUGCAUGGUGGUAUGGCUGCUGACUGAGGUGAGUCAAUAGGCUUCUAAUUGGUCAAAGUGUGGACACCUGGCUACUAAAACUAACCAUCUGGAAAAUAAUGAAGAGUUCAAAGACAAUGCAAAUGAUAACGAGCUGAACCUGCAUUGUGUCAAUACAUUUCAGGAAAUUUAACAUGUUCUGCUACAUGUUCAGAGGUCCAUUGAUUAAUCUCAGUCUUUCAAUUGGUCCACAAAGUUUGUUACCUCUUCUUAUGUAAUUGUUCGCAAGAAAGCACAAUAAGCACAAUACGAACAUGGUAACUUUAUUGUGUUUGGCUGUUUUUCACAUGAUGUGGCUUAAGUGGGUUAAUAAUCCCUCUAAACAUGAUAAGCACCUAAUUAAGAAAAAUGAACAACUUGUUAAAAUUCUGGUAUUGCAAUUGUGGUUGGAACGAAAACCAGCAUACACAGGGGUACUCCAGGACUGAGGUUGGGAACCACUGUUCUAGAAAACACAAUCUGAGAUUUUUAUUUAAAUUUUUUAGUAAAAUAAAUAAAGAUUACACAGGGUGAUGACAUAAACCACACAAAAUAAUUACUCCCGUUUCUUUGAGGCAGUUGUCUUUCAGUAUAUGAAUUUUAAAUUUUUCAUUGAUAAUAUUUACACAGCCAUUGAUAGCAUAGCGAAAUUGAAAGGGAGAGUGCUUUUGGAAAAGUCACAAAUUAUAUGUCUUGCUAUAGCUAGCUUGCUCAACGUGAGUACAUUUUAAAAAUAUUUUUAGCCUGUCAGUUGUAGCAUUUUUCAUCCUGCUAAUCCCACUGUUUUAUUCCGCUUGUUACAAGUGUCAUAAUGAAAUAAUGAAACAACAAACACUGAUUGUCUUAUUAUUGUGAGUUGGAAUGUUACGGUCAAAAUUGUUAUUUUUAUCAGAACACAAGUGAAUUUGUAUAGAACACAGACAUUGAAACAUCCCAAAGCCGUAGCAUUCCUUAGAUUAGCAUGACCACUGGUCGUGGUUGCAAUUCUAAUCACGGAAUAAGUUAUGUUUUAAAGUACCGCAGUAUUGUUUGCUUUAUAACAUGAGCCAGUUAAAAUCAGUGACCAAUAUUUAGACUAGUAUGCAUUUCGAGCUAAUUAAUAGUAAAUUUGAAUGUAUUUAUAUUUUAUUUGUGCUUGUUUGCAUGUUGAUUCU